UGGGGAAUAUUGGACAAUGGGCGAAAGCCUGAUCCAGCCAUGCCGCGUGUGUGAAGAAGGUCUUCGGAUUGUAAAGCACUUUAAGUUGGGAGGAAGGGCAUUAACCUAAUACGUUAGUGUUUUGACGUUACCGACAGAAUAAGCACCGGCUAACUCUGUGCCAGCAGCCGCGGUAAUACAGAGGGUGCAAGCGUUAAUCGGAAUUACUGGGCGUAAAGCGCGCGUAGGUGGUUUGUUAAGUUGGAUGUGAAACCCCCGGGCUCAACCUGGGAACUGCAUUCAAAACCGACUGACUAGAGUAUGGUAGAGGGUGGUGGAAUUUCCUGUGUAGCGGUGAAAUGCGUAGAUAUAGGAAGGAACACCAGUGGCGAAGGCGACCACCUGGACUAAUACUGACACUGAGGUGCGAAAGCGUGGGGAGCAAACA
This 427-nucleotide ribosomal RNA is filed under the name uncultured bacterium. RNAcentral describes it as "partial 16S ribosomal RNA". It matches the Rfam family "Bacterial small subunit ribosomal RNA", at positions 355 to 774 of the family's 1533-position model. The record is from RNAcentral.